Molecule: long non-coding RNA, 732 nt
Organism: Otolemur garnettii (small-eared galago)
Lineage: Eukaryota; Metazoa; Chordata; Mammalia; Primates; Galagidae
Exons: 4
Source: RefSeq, a predicted model, not a curated record
GGGGCUGGGGGAGGGGCGUCAAGAUGGCGGCGGGGAGGUAGGCAGAGCCGGACGCCGCUGCUGCCGCCGCCUUCGCCGCCGCCGCCACAGUCGUCUCAGCCGCCUCCGCUCCAGUCGCCUCUGGUCCUUCAAGCUUUCACCGCCUGAAAGAAGCUGUUCUGGUGUCGGGUCCCGCAGGGAAAAUGGUGGAACCAGGGCAGGAUUUACUGCUUGCUGCUUUGAGUGAGAGUGGGAUUAGUCCAAAUGACCUCUUUGAUAUCGAUGGUGGAGAUACUGGGCUUGCAACUCCAACACCUACCCCUCCAGUUCAGCAGUCAGUGACGCUUAGUGCGUUAGAACUGGGUUUGGAGACUGAAACAACAGUUCCUGUGAAACAAGAACCAGAGACGGUACCUACUCCAGCACUCUUAAAUGUGAGGCAGCAGCCUCCAUCUACUACAACAUUUGUGCUAAAUCAAAUAAAUCAGCUUCCAACCUUGGGAUCUACAAUUGUAAUGACUAAAACACCACCUGUGACAACCAACCGCCAAACCAUUACUUUAACUAAGUUUAUCCAGACUACUGCGAACACACGGCCUUCAGUGUCAGCACCAGCAGUACGAAAUGCCAUGACUUCUGCACCUUCAAAAGACCAGGUUCAACUGAAGGAUCUACUCAAAAAUAAUAGUCUUAAUGAACUCAUGAAACUGAAGCCGCCAGCCAAUAUUGCUCAGCCAGUUGCGACAGCAGCUA